GGAUUUGAUUUAUAACUUUAACAGUAUUAAAACUGAAUGUUCAAUGUUCAGUCAAGCAAACAUGAGGUCAAACAUGAGGUCAAACAUGAGGUCAAACACGAGGUCAAACAUGAGGUCAAACACGAGGUCUAAGGUCUAUAUAUAAGCCUACUUUAGGUCUAACAUGAGGCCUACUGCCUGACUACAGGUAUAAAGGUCUACUUUAGGUCUAACAUUAGGCCUACUGCCUGACUACAGGUAUAAAGGUCUAUAGUUCUACUGCCUGACUACAGGUAUAAAGGUCUUUAGUUCUACUUCCUGACUACAGGUAUAAAGGUCAAGAGUUUUACUUUCAGCCUCUUUUUAAGGUUUAAAUGUCAACUCAGUCAUCAGAAUGUGCGUUUCUUUCUUCAUAGAGUGUCUAUAGGUCUCUUAAGGUGUUGCUAUCUAAUGUGAACACCUCAAAGCUGAACAUUUUCCAUUGACGUCACGUUGGUGUGAAACCUGUUUACCUCGAUGCUAGACCCUCCUCUUCCUGUCACAACAUGGGUUUCAGAGAAAAGGACCACGAGCUGAAAACUUUCCACUCAAUUGAACCAAUCGCUGCUCGUAUGUCCUUUCAUGGUAAAGUACAUCGAGUCAUGAACACGGAAAUACGCAGCAAAGACCUUGUUACUCAAAGACCCAGCUACUCUCUGACAGUCACCAUCAGACCAUCAGACCACCAGAUGGACAGGCUGUGUGUUUCUCUGAUUGCAUUCUUAUGUGCUGUUUCCGCCAGUCAGGAUGGGAUCUCUGCAGCAGAGGUGGAGCUGAGAGUCAGACCAGGAGACAGUGGUCAAUCAAUAAUUCAAACCUUCAUUCCAAUACUCUUGAGGAAGGAGACCUGUUUUACGCCUCGUUGGAUAUCCGUCAGGGACAGAGGAGACCAAAGAAGAAGAAGAAGAGAGUCCAGAACUCUGACUUCAGUACCUACACAGCCAUCAAUACCAGCAGAGUGAGACCUAUACCAGCCAUCAAUACCAGCAGAGUGUGAGACCUAUACCAUCCAUCAAUACCAGCAGAGUGAGACCUAUACCAUCCAUCAAUACCAGCAGAGUGUGAGACCUAUACCAUCCAUCAAUACCAGCAGAGUGAG
This 1117-nucleotide long non-coding RNA is filed under the name Salmo salar (Atlantic salmon). RNAcentral's name for it is "lncRNA (ENSSSAG00000112624.1)". Lineage: Eukaryota; Metazoa; Chordata; Actinopteri; Salmoniformes; Salmonidae. The record is from RNAcentral.